GGUUUGCUCAGUUGGGUAGAGUGUGGUGCUGAUAAUGCCAAGGUCACAGGUUUGGUCCAUGUAAGGGAGAGCU
This is a non-coding RNA of Podarcis lilfordi (Lilford's wall lizard), 73 nucleotides long. Lineage: Eukaryota; Metazoa; Chordata; Lepidosauria; Squamata; Lacertidae. The record is from the annotation of a GenBank genome assembly.